GCGCCCAUGGCUCAGCCGGAUAGAGCACUGGCCUUCCAAGCCGGGGGUCCCGCGUUCGAGUUGCGGCGGGCGCGCCA
This 77-nucleotide transfer RNA is filed under the name Acidobacteriota bacterium. Its description in RNAcentral is "Acidobacteria bacterium tRNA-Gly". It matches the Rfam family "tRNA". Rfam says of the family: Transfer RNA (tRNA) molecules are approximately 80 nucleotides in length. Their secondary structure includes four short double-helical elements and three loops (D, anti-codon, and T loops). The record is from RNAcentral. Lineage: Bacteria; Pseudomonadati; Acidobacteriota.